Oncorhynchus tshawytscha (Chinook salmon) is the source of this 584-nucleotide long non-coding RNA. The record is from Ensembl. Lineage: Eukaryota; Metazoa; Chordata; Actinopteri; Salmoniformes; Salmonidae.
UACAGAGUGAGAGAGAGUUACAGAGAGAAAGAGAGAUGGGUACAGAGUGAGAGAGAGUUACAGAGAGAAAGAGAGAUGGGUACAGAGUGAGAGAGAGUUACAGAGAGAAAGAGAGAUGGAGAGAUGGGUACAGAGUGAGAGAGAGUUACAGAGAGAAAGAGAGAAAGAGAGAUGGGUACAGAGUGAGAGAGAGUUACAGAGAGAAAGAGAGAUGGGUACAGAGUGAGAGAGAGUUACAGAGAGAAAGAGAGAUGGAGAGAUGGGAACAGAGUGAGAGAGAGUUACAGAGAGAAAGAGAGAUGGGAACAGAGUGAGAGAGAGUUACAGAGAGAAAGAGAGAUGGGAACAGAGUGAGAGAGAGUUACAGAGAGAAAGAGAGAUGGAGAGAUGGGAACAGAGUGAGAGAGAGUUACAGAGAGAAAGAGAGAUGGGUACAGAGUGAGAGAGAUACAGAGAGAUAGAGAGAUGGAGAGAUGGGUACAGAGUGAGAGAGAUACAGAGAGAGAGAGUUACAGAGAGAUGGAGAGAUGGGUACAGAGUGAGAGAGAGUUACAGAGAGAAAGAGAGAUGGGUACAGAGUGAGA